Molecule: long non-coding RNA, 257 nt
Filed under: Cyanistes caeruleus (blue tit)
Lineage: Eukaryota; Metazoa; Chordata; Aves; Passeriformes; Paridae
Description: lncRNA (ENSCCEG00000006802.1)
Source: RNAcentral
UGCAGAUGCUGACCCACAAUAGGGAUCAGUCAUGAGGACUGGGACAGAAAACAUGACCAAAUAAAUUCCUGCCAUGUUGCUCUGUUGCUGAACUGAGUUCCCUGCAGCCCCAAAAGAAGAUUUCUACUGGGCCUGCAUAAGGAUACAUGAAAUGAUGUUGCUUGAAGGGAACUAAGGGUUAUCUUCAGUUUGGAGGACCACAGAUCCUUGGAGACAGGAGCAGAAUGCUUUUCUAACGUGUGUGCACCAUAGAGUUU